UGCGAGUCCUUUUGCGGCACGACAUUAUGAACCCCGCCAGAUCCGGAAGGAAGCAACGGUAAUAAUCGAUGUGAGCGCGAAAUAUGGCUGGUAUGG
RNAcentral lists this signal recognition particle RNA (96 nucleotides) under Gammaproteobacteria bacterium RIFCSPHIGHO2_02_FULL_42_13. Its description in RNAcentral is "signal recognition particle sRNA small type". It matches the Rfam family "Bacterial small signal recognition particle RNA". Rfam says of the family: The signal recognition particle (SRP) is a universally conserved ribonucleoprotein involved in the co-translational targeting of proteins to membranes. The record is from RNAcentral. Lineage: Bacteria; Pseudomonadati; Pseudomonadota; Gammaproteobacteria.